GCAUUCAGUUGCCAUCGGGUAAUGCCGGGCACUCUGGAAGGACUGCCAUCGACAAGGAAUGGAGGAAGGUGGGGAGUGACGUCAAGUCAUCAUGGCCCUUAUGUCCAGGGCGACACACGUGCUACAAUGGCCGGCACAACGGGAAGCGAGUUCGCGAGGACGAGCGGAUCCCUCAAAGCCGGUCGCAGUUCGGAUUGAAGUCUGCAACUCGACUUCAUGAAGCUGGAAUCGCUAGUAAUCGUGGAUCAGCCAAGCCGCGGUGAAUACGUUCCCGGGCCUU
This 280-nucleotide ribosomal RNA is filed under the name uncultured Synergistaceae bacterium. RNAcentral's name for it is "partial 16S ribosomal RNA". It matches the Rfam family "Bacterial small subunit ribosomal RNA", at positions 1107 to 1382 of the family's 1533-position model. The record is from RNAcentral. Lineage: Bacteria; Thermotogati; Synergistota; Synergistia; Synergistales; Synergistaceae.